UCCUAGCUGUAAACGCUGUCUGCUAGGUGUUACACGUCCUUCGUGGGCGUGUAGUGCCGAAGCGAAGGCAUUAAGCAGACCGCCUGGGGAGUACGGUCGCAAGGCUGAAACUUAAAGGAAUAGGCGGGGGAGCACAACAAGGGGUGAAGCGUGCGGUUCAAUUGGAUUCGACGCCGGGAAUCUCACCAGGGCUGACAGCAGCAUGAAGGUCAGUCUGAAGGGCUUACCGACGC
Molecule: ribosomal RNA, 233 nt
Filed under: uncultured bacterium
Lineage: Bacteria
Description: partial 16S ribosomal RNA
Rfam family: Archaeal small subunit ribosomal RNA
Source: RNAcentral